This is a long non-coding RNA of Microtus oregoni (creeping vole), 546 nucleotides long. RefSeq lists it as uncharacterized. NCBI's taxonomy places the organism in Eukaryota, Metazoa, Chordata, Mammalia, Rodentia, Cricetidae. The transcript has 3 exons. The record is from RefSeq and is a predicted model, not a curated record.
UCCUGCGAAAGGAUGGGAACAGCUUGUCUCUCACUGCCUGGCACACCCUCCGCACUGGGCUAACACUACACGGCUGGAGACCAACGCCAGCAGUAAUGCCUGUGGCUGAGGUGUGCUAGCAUUUAGAAGAUUCUGUGACUGGAGGAUGCGUGAUUAUGUUGUGAAAAAGUAGAAGAAAAUGCAGGCAUGGUCUGGUGCCCAGCCUACCUGGUAUAUUGCACCUCUAUGUAAGAAGCAUGGCACACCAUGCUCCUGAAGUCAAAAGACUGAAUUCUGAAGUGGCGCUCAGGGCCUGGUGCUGCUGAUUGGAGCGACACUUGAUGUAAGUCGAGGUUUUCUUUCCAAGACCCUGUGACAGACCUGGGAACUGGCAAGGGGUUCUCAAGGCCAACUGAGGCGCCUCAGCCAUCAGCUCCUCAUUUGAAAGAAGAGCUUGAAAGCGAUACAAACCAACAAAAAACAGGGCUAGAACUCACACCACAGCACACCUGUCCUUCACUGCGCUUCCUACACCAAGUAGCAGUCAUGCUACAUCACCCUACAAGA